This 408-nucleotide ribosomal RNA is filed under the name uncultured bacterium. RNAcentral describes it as "partial 16S ribosomal RNA". It matches the Rfam family "Bacterial small subunit ribosomal RNA", at positions 28 to 526 of the family's 1533-position model. The record is from RNAcentral.
GACGAACGCUGGCGGCGUGCUUAACACAUGCAAGUCGAACGAAGUGGCGAACGGGUGAGUAACGCGUAAUCCACCUGCCCUUCAGAGGGUGCCAACAGUUGGAAACGACUGCUAAUACCGCAUACUGAAGGAGGGGAUUGCGUCUGAUUAGCUAGUUGGAGGGGUAACGGCCCACCAAGGCGAUGCUCAGUAGGCGGGUUGGGAGGAUGAACGGCCAACUUGGGACUGAGACACGGCCCAGACUCCUACGGGAGGCAGCAGUGGGGAAUCUUCCGCAAUGGACGAAAGUCUGACGGAGCAACGCCGCGGUAGGGAUGACGGCCUUCGGGUUGUAAAGCUCUGUUAAUCGGGACGCGGUACCGAAAUAGAAAGCCACGGCUAACUACGUGCCAGCAGCCGCGGUAAUUC